UAAUUACUAUAGCGUGAUGGAUGGGGAGUUAAUUUGAGACUGCCGACAUACUAUUGAGAAACUAUUAAAGAUUUUGGGCAAUGUUUUAAUUCUAUAGCGUGAAAUGAUUUAGUUACCAUAGCUGUGGCACUGGAUGUUGAUGACCACCAAGUGCGGUUGAUUCGUGCAAGCAAACUUUUGACAUUCACAGAUUUGGGGUAAGCGUUAGACGAUAUGACUCCAGAUCACCAUCAAUGCAUGGCUUGAAGACAAUAUGUGACUCGUCUAUUGAUCUCAAAGCCCCUACAACAUAUAUACAUA
Lolium rigidum is the source of this 300-nucleotide long non-coding RNA. RefSeq lists it as uncharacterized. The record is from RefSeq and is a predicted model, not a curated record. NCBI's taxonomy places the organism in Eukaryota, Viridiplantae, Streptophyta, Magnoliopsida, Poales, Poaceae. The transcript is spliced from 3 exons.